Molecule: ribosomal RNA, 421 nt
Filed under: uncultured bacterium
Lineage: Bacteria
Description: partial 16S ribosomal RNA
Rfam family: Bacterial small subunit ribosomal RNA
Source: RNAcentral
AAUAUUGGACAAUGGGGGAAACCCUGAUCCACCCAGGCCGCGUGUGUGAAGAGGGCCUUCGGUUUGUAAAUCACUUUAAGUGGGGGGGAGGGGUUUUAGGCUAUUACCUUGAAGUUUUGACUUUACCACCAGAAUAAGAACCGGCUAACUCUGUCCCAGCAGCCGCGGUAAUACAGAGGGUGCAAGCGUUAAUCGGAAUUACUGGGCGUAAAGCGCGCGUAGGUGGUUUGUUAAGUUGGAAGUGAAAGCCCCGGGCUCAACCUGGGAACUGCUUUCAUAACUGCUGAGCUAGAGUACGGUAGAGGGUAGUGGAAUUUCCUGUGUAGCGGUGAAAUGCGUAGAUAUAGGAAGGAACACCAGUGGCGAAGGCGACCACCUGGACUGAUACUGACACUGAGGUGCGAAAGCGUGGGGAGCAAAC